This 77-nucleotide transfer RNA is filed under the name Planctomycetota bacterium. RNAcentral describes it as "tRNA-Ile". It matches the Rfam family "tRNA". Rfam says of the family: Transfer RNA (tRNA) molecules are approximately 80 nucleotides in length. The record is from RNAcentral. Lineage: Bacteria; Pseudomonadati; Planctomycetota.
GGGCCUGUAGCUCAAUCGGUUAGAGCAGAGGACUCAUAAUCCUUUGGUUCCGGGUUCGAGUCCCGGCGGGCCCACCA